ACGAACGCUGGCGGCGUGCUUAACACAUGCCGGUCGAACGGAAAGGCCCUGCUUUUGUGGGGUGCUCGAGUGGCGAACGGGUGAGUAACACGUGAGUAACCUGCCCUUGACUUUGGGAUAACUUCAGGAAACUGGGGCUAAUACCGGAUAGGAGCUCCUGCUGCAUGGUGGGGGUUGGAAAGUUUCGGCGGUUGGGGAUGGACUCGCGGCUUAUCAGCUUGUUGGUGGGGUAGUGGCUUACCAAGGCUUUGACGGGUAGCCGGCCUGAGAGGGUGGCCGGCCACAUUGGGACUGAGAUACGGCCCAGACUCCUACGGGAGGCAGCAGUGGGGAAUAUUGCACAAUGGGCGGAAGCCCGAUGCAGCAACGCCGCGUGCGGGAUGACGGCCUUCGGGUUGUAAACCGCUUUCGCCUGUGACGAAGCGUGAGUGACGGUAAUGGGUAAAGAAGCACCGGCUAACUACGUG
Molecule: ribosomal RNA, 467 nt
Filed under: uncultured bacterium
Lineage: Bacteria
Description: partial 16S ribosomal RNA
Rfam family: Bacterial small subunit ribosomal RNA
Source: RNAcentral